RNAcentral lists this ribosomal RNA (1396 nucleotides) under metagenome. RNAcentral's name for it is "bacterial LSU rRNA". It matches the Rfam family "Bacterial large subunit ribosomal RNA", at positions 1551 to 2925 of the family's 2925-position model. The record is from RNAcentral.
CUAUGCUGAGAUCUGAUAGCAAGCUGUACUUGUACAGCGAAGUGGUUGAUGCCAUGCUUCCAGGAAAAGUCUCUAAGCUUCAGUUACACAGGAAUCGUACCCGAAACCGACACAGGUGGUCAGGUCGAGUAGACCAAGGCGCUUGAGAGAACUCUGCUGAAGGAACUAGGCAAAAUGGUACCGUAACUUCGGGAGAAGGUACGCUGUUGUUGGUGAUGGAACUCGCUUCCUGAGCUGACGACAGCCGCAGAAACCAGGCCGCUGCAACUGUUUAUUAAAAACAUAGCACUCUGCAAACACGAAAGUGGACGUAUAGGGUGUGAUGCCUGCCCGGUGCUGGAAGGUUAAUUGAUGGGGUUAGCGUAAGCGAAGCUCUUGAUCGAAGCCCCAGUAAACGGCGGCCGUAACGAUAACGGUCCUAAGGUAGCGAAAUUCCUUGUCGGGUAAGUUCCGACCUGCACGAAUGGCGUAAUGAUGGCGGCGCUGUCUCCAGCAGAGGCUCAGUGAAAUCGAAAUCGCUGUGAAGAUGCAGUGUACCCGCGGCUAGACGGAAAGACCCCGUGAACCUUUACUGCAGCUUGACACUGAACUUUGACCUUACUUGUGUAGGAUAGGUGGGAGGCUUUGAAGCUGGAACGCUAGUUCCAGUGGAGCCGUCCUUGAAAUACCACCCUGGUAAUGUUGAGGUUCUAACUCUGUCCCGUGAUCCGGGACGAGGACCGUGUCUGGUGGGUAGUUUGACUGGGGCGGUCUCCUCCUAAAGAGUAACGGAGGAGUACGAAGGUGCGCUCAGCGUGGUCGGAAAUCACGCGUAGAGUAUAAAGGCAAAAGCGCGCUUAACUGCGAGACCCACAAGUCGAGCAGGUACGAAAGUAGGUCUUAGUGAUCCGGUGGUUCUGUAUGGAAGGGCCAUCGCUCAACGGAUAAAAGGUACUCUGGGGAUAACAGGCUGAUACCGCCCAAGAGUUCAUAUCGACGGCGGUGUUUGGCACCUCGAUGUCGGCUCAUCUCAUCCUGGGGCUGAAGCAGGUCCCAAGGGUAUGGCUGUUCGCCAUUUAAAGAGGUACGCGAGCUGGGUUUAGAACGUCGUGAGACAGUUCGGUCCCUAUCUACCGUGGGCGCUGGAAAUUUGAGAGGAUCUGCUCCUAGUACGAGAGGACCAGAGUGGACGAACCUCUGGUGUACCGGUUGUGACGCCAGUCGCAUCGCCGGGUAGCUAUGUUCGGAAGGGAUAACCGCUGAAAGCAUCUAAGCGGGAAGCCUACCUCAAGAUAAGAUUUCCCUAGGACUUUAUGUCCUCUAAAGAGCCGUUCGAGACUAGGACGUUGAUAGGUUGGAUGUGGAAGCAUAGUGAUAUGUGAAGCUGACCAAUACUAAUUGCUCGUGAGGCUUGACU